This 461-nucleotide ribosomal RNA is filed under the name uncultured bacterium. Its description in RNAcentral is "partial 16S ribosomal RNA". It matches the Rfam family "Bacterial small subunit ribosomal RNA", at positions 338 to 795 of the family's 1533-position model. The record is from RNAcentral.
CCUACGGGUGGCAGCAGUGAGGAAUAUUGGUCAAUGGGCGAGAGCCUGAACCAGCCAAGUCGCGUGAAGGAUGACGGCCCUACGGGUUGUAAACUUCUUUUGUCAGGGAGCAAUUGAGUCCACGUGUGGUCUUAUCGAGAGUACCUGAAGAAAACGCAUCGGCGAACUCCGUGCCAGCAGCCGCGGUAAUACGGAGGAUGCGAGCGUUAUCCGGAUUUAUUGGUUUUAAAGGGAGCGUAGAUGGGUUGUUAAGUCAGUUGUGAAAGUUUGCGGCUCAACCGUAAAAUUGCAAUUGAUACUGGCAGUGUUGAGUACAGUUGAGGUAGGCGGAAUUCGUUGUGUAGCGGUGAAAUGCUUAGAUAUCACGAAGAACCCCGAUUGCGAAGGCAGCUUACUAAACUGUGACUGACAUUGAUGCUCGAAAGUGUGGGUAUCAAACAGGAUUAGAUACCCUAGUAGUC